This 253-nucleotide ribosomal RNA is filed under the name uncultured bacterium. RNAcentral's name for it is "partial 16S ribosomal RNA". It matches the Rfam family "Bacterial small subunit ribosomal RNA", at positions 524 to 776 of the family's 1533-position model. The record is from RNAcentral.
UACGUAGGGGGCAAGCGUUAUCCGGAAUCAUUGGGCGUAAAGCGCGUGUAGGCGGUUCCGUAAGUCCGCUCUGAAAGCCCAGGGCUCAACCCUGGGAGGCGGGUGGAUACUACGGAACUGGAGUACGGAAGAGGAGAUUGGAAUUCCUGGUGUAGCGGUGAAAUGCGCAGAUAUCAGGAGGAACACCAACAGCGAAGGCAGAUCUCUGGGACGUUACUGACGUUGAGACGCGAAAGCGUGGGGAGCAAACAGG